Long non-coding RNA from Oncorhynchus gorbuscha (pink salmon), 1220 nucleotides. RefSeq lists it as uncharacterized. The record is from RefSeq and is a predicted model, not a curated record. Lineage: Eukaryota; Metazoa; Chordata; Actinopteri; Salmoniformes; Salmonidae. The transcript is spliced from 3 exons.
UAAGAGGGUGGGAGAGGGUCAGAGAGUGAGAGGGUCAGAGAGGGUCAGAGAGGGUCAGAGAGAGAGAAAUGAAGAGACUCUCAGAGCAUCUUUCCUCCAGAGGGAUUGGUUUGGAGUUGGACGUCACACAUCUGGGGAAACAUCCCAAAUGGCUCCAUAUUCCCUUUAUAGUGCCCUACAUUAGGUCCCGGUCAAUGUGGAUUAGUGCCCUACAUUAGGUCCCGGUCAAUGUGGAUUAGUGCCCUACAUUAGGUCCCGGUCAAUGUGGAUUAGUGCCCUACAUUAGGUCCCGGUCAAUGUGGAUUAGUGCCCUACAUUAGGUCCCGGUCAAUGUGGAUUAGUGCCCUACAUUAGGUCCCGGUCAAUGUGGAUUAGUGCCCUACAUUAGGUCCCGGUCAAUGUGGAUUAGUGCCCUACAUUAGGUCCCGGUCAAUGUGGAUUAGUGCCCUACAUUAGGUCCCGGUCAAUGUGGAUUAGUGCCCUACAUUAGGUCCCGGUCAAUGUGGAUUAGUGCCCUACAUUAGGUCCCGGUCAAUGUGGAUUAGUGCCCUACAUUAGGUCCCGGUCAAUGUGGAUUAGUGCCCUACAUUAGGUCCCGGUCAAUGUGGAUUAGUGCCCUACAUUAGGUCCCGGUCAAUGUGGAUUAGUGCACUUAGGAAGGGAAUAGUGUUCGAUUUGGGACGUAUCCCGAGUGUGUUGAGCUCAGAGGAGAAUCCAGGACGUCCUGAAUGGAACCCUAUUCCCUAUCCAGUCCUGCACUACGUCUGACCAGAGGCCCCAUAAGGGGGCUAGAGCACUUAGGGGAAUAUAGUGCUAUUUGGGAUACACGAACCGUGUCUUCGGUUCUACUGCCAAAAUCAUUGUAAUAUAAGCAUGAAGGAAAUUUUUUUUUUUUAAAGGAAUUAAAUCAUAUUAAAAACUGGAUAAAAUACCAUGCAUGUUGCUGGAAUUUGACAGUUGGCAGUUUAUAUUUAAAUAGAGCAACGAGACAUUUCAAUGAGAGGGAAAACUGUAGACGAGCGGCCGUCCCAAAUGGCACUACUUUCGAGUGACCCCUUUUUUUUGGGAAGCACUCGAUGGUCAUUUUUCAUAGCAAUGAAUGUAUUAGUUAACUAACAUGUAUGUGUAAUUGCUGGUGACGGUAUGCUCUUGGCUAUUAUGGGAUGGGUGGUGGUUUAAACUCAAGGUACGCUGUGCGAUAUGACGUCGUCAGGCACCGG